Molecule: ribosomal RNA, 201 nt
Filed under: uncultured bacterium
Lineage: Bacteria
Description: partial 16S ribosomal RNA
Rfam family: Bacterial small subunit ribosomal RNA
Source: RNAcentral
UACGUAGGGUCCGAGCGUUGUCCGGAGUUGACUGGCGUAAAGCGCGCGCAGGCGGCGGUGCUGGCCCGGCGUGAAAGGCCCCCGGCUCAACCGGGGAGGGUCGUCGGGGACCGCACCGCUUGAGGGCGGUAGGGGCUGGUGGAAUGCCUGGUGUAGUGGUGAAAUGCGUAGAGAUCAGGCGGAACACCCGUGGCGAAGGCG